GCCGGUAACAAAAUAAUGGGUUCAGCAAAACUGAAAAGUCUUUAAUGCUUUAUUUUCUUUCUCUGUUGGUGUCUAUCAGUCAACUCUUCUUCCUCGAUGUUCAUCAUGAUUCAAGUUUGUUUGGAAGAUCCUUAUUCGAAAUCCAGACCAAAAGAGGAGAUUUUGUGUUUAUCAAAACAAUUCACUCUAUUCUAAGAGCCAAAUCGAUAUACUCGAAAUAAAGAUCGACCAUCACCUGAGGAUAUUUCAAUGGCUUUGGUUGAAAAUUACUUUUUGUAGACAUGUGAAUGGAGAUUCCCUUCAAACCUGCUCGGCUGAUUCUACAGGGCUCAACUGGUGUCCCUGCAGUUGUGUAAAUAGUUUGCAUGAGAGUAGCCACGGAUAAUGGCAAUGUUGAUUCUACUGCGUUCAUACUGAGAUUGAUUGAUAUUAUAUUUGUUUUAAAUUGGGGAUAUGUUUUGUUUCAUGUAUGUAGACUACUGAUCCCGCUGUCAUUGAGAAUCUUCAAUAUUCAUGGAUUCAACUAUGGUCAAAAGCAAGAAAUAUAUUUAACCAUCAAAUGCCGUGAACAGAGGUAGAUGAUAUUUUAUAGUCCAGUAUAUGGCUGUGAUGAAACAUAGUGCAUGCGUAAAUGGAGUAAUACGUAUGGCAAAUUAGAGAGGAGAGUACUCAUGUAUUACGUACUACUAUGUUAGUUUUAAUAUAAGGUAGUUUGAUAUAAAAGGGCCAGCGAUUAAUUGUAUAAGAUUGGAUGGUAAUGGCAUUUGAUGUAAAUACUCUAGUGAAUAAAGGGUGGUUAAUUAUGUAAGCUGAGAAGGACUAUAAGACUGUCACCUCAGCAUGGCAUGCUUGUAAAUAAUUUACAUUUCAAAGGUUAUUUUUUUCAAA
Molecule: long non-coding RNA, 888 nt
Organism: Brassica napus (rape)
Lineage: Eukaryota; Viridiplantae; Streptophyta; Magnoliopsida; Brassicales; Brassicaceae
Exons: 5
Source: RefSeq, a predicted model, not a curated record